RNAcentral lists this ribosomal RNA (450 nucleotides) under Burkholderia sp. BSNF1(13). Its description in RNAcentral is "bacterial SSU rRNA". It matches the Rfam family "Bacterial small subunit ribosomal RNA", at positions 53 to 499 of the family's 1533-position model. RNAcentral also lists the same sequence under 1 other name. Lineage: Bacteria; Pseudomonadati; Pseudomonadota; Betaproteobacteria; Burkholderiales; Burkholderiaceae. The record is from RNAcentral.
ACAUGCAGUCGAACGGCAGCACGGGGGCAACCCUGGUGGCGAGUGGCGAACGGGUGAGUAAUACAUCGGAACGUGUCCUGGAGUGGGGGAUAGCCCGGCGAAAGCCGGAUUAAUACCGCAUACGCUCUGAGGAGGAAAGGGGGGGAUCGCAAGACCUCUCGCUCAAGGGGCGGCCGAUGGCAGAUUAGCUAGUUGGUGGGGUAAAGGCCUACCAAGGCGACGAUCUGUAGCUGGUCUGAGAGGACGACCAGCCACACUGGGACUGAGACACGGCCCAGACUCCUACGGGAGGCAGCAGUGGGGAAUUUUGGACAAUGGGCGCAAGCCUGAUCCAGCAAUGCCGCGUGUGUGAAGAAGGCCUUCGGGUUGUAAAGCACUUUUGUCCGGAAAGAAAACCUCUGCCCGAAUACGGCGGGGGGAUGACGGUACCGGAAGAAUAAGCACCGGCUA